GCCUUCGUGAUGUAAUGGUCAGCAUACUCGGCUCGUAUACGAGAUGUCCGAGGUUCGAGUCUCGACGAGGACA
Molecule: non-coding RNA, 73 nt
Organism: Stegodyphus mimosarum
Lineage: Eukaryota; Metazoa; Arthropoda; Arachnida; Araneae; Eresidae
Source: Rfam